GUAGGUGGCAAGCGUUGUCCGGAAUUAUGGGGCGUAAAGCGCGCGCAGGCGGUUCUUUAAGUCUGAUGUGAAAGCCCACGGCUCAACCGUGGAGGGUCAUUGGAAACUGGAGAACUUGAGUACAGAAGAGGAAAGCGGAAUUCCACGUGUAGCGGUGAAAUGCGUAGAGAUGUGGAGGAACACCAGUGGCGAAGGCGGCUUCCUGGUCUGUAACUGACGCUGAGGCGCGAAAGCGUGGGGAGCAAACAGGGAUUAGAUACCCUGGUAGUCCACGCCGUAAACGAUGAGUGCUAAGUGUUAGGGGGUUUCCGCCCCCUUAGUGCUGCAGCUAACGCAUUAAGCACUCCGCCUGGGGAGUACGGCCGCAAGGCUG
RNAcentral lists this ribosomal RNA (373 nucleotides) under uncultured organism. Its description in RNAcentral is "partial 16S ribosomal RNA". It matches the Rfam family "Bacterial small subunit ribosomal RNA", at positions 527 to 896 of the family's 1533-position model. The record is from RNAcentral.